UGUUAAUCGGUUAUCGAUUACAAGCUGAUACAUUUGCCCUUAACUAAUAGAAUUUGAGUAAUUUAAUAAUAUCAUAAAUACAGCAAAUUAGUUUCGUAUUUAACAAGUAUUCGUUAUGGAGAAUGAAUUUGAUUUUAGUGGCUGUGGUCCACUAAGUGCAGUGGUGCAAAGAGACUCCUUGAGUAGUACUGGCUCUUCGGUAUCUGCUAGUAGCACAUCCAAUUCUACAAAGACGGCACUGAACGAUUGCUCUGUAGCAUGGAUAAGUUACCUCAACUCGCUAAAUAACUUGUGUUGUGCUGGAAGUAAAUUGAGUAGUACACUGACGGUAAGGCAGUCCUAAUUGUAGUUUUGGCAAAACUUUCCAUUACUACCACGAUAUAUUUGAAUAUAAGGGGAGGGGGUGUGGCACCGCCCACUACGCCCAUUAGAAAGAGCAAGGUCACACCAUUAUAACUGUGAAAGCCCCAACUUCCUAGGGCCCCUAUAGAACCCCCAGGAGAAGUUAAAAAAUUUGGUUUUUUCGGCCGCAUUUGCAGUUUGUACUGAAAUACAGUUGCAGAGAAGUGUAUACAGCAGUCGUCAACCCAGCAAGCAUUUAACUUACAGUUAGUAACAUAAAUAAGUAUACAGGAGCCUGAUUUAUGGAAUUGUUUGACGCUAACGCUUUCCUUAAUAUGUAAUACAAAAAUUUUACACAUGGUACUGUUAUCCACGCUUUGCUUUGCCUUUGAUGUCAGGGAAAUUUAUGUCAAAAGUUAGUAUACAGCAAACGAUUGUUCAGUUGGCAUAACAUUUAUUUUUACGCAUUGAUUAAAAAAGUUAGAACUAUUAAAAGGAAAUAAUCAAAUAAUGGGACCAAGAGGAAAAGAGCUUUCUGAUGAUUUAAAAAAACUGAUUAUAAAAUAUCACAAGGAACAUAAAUCAUUGCGAGAAAUCGGUCGUUUGAUAAAUAGGAAUUUUGCUACAGUUCAAAAGAUUGUGAAUAAAUAUAAAAGUGCGGGAAACACCACUAAUAAAGAGCGUUGUGGGCGUCCGCCGCUCUUAAGCCCCAGAGAAAGCAAAAUCAGGACAAACCCCAAAAUGAGUGCCCCCAAAUUGAAAUCUCAAGUUGAAAAUGAGACUGGAAAACAAUUUAGCACCCAAACUAUUCGCCGGGUUUUGCAUAGUGCUGGUUAUCAUGGGCGCAGUGUUAGGAAAAAGUCCUUCGUGAGUAGUGUCAAUCGGAGUAAUCGGAUUUCAUUCGCAAAAUAUCAUGAAAAAUAUGACCAAACGUUUUGGAAAUAAGUCAUAUUUUCUGAUGAGUGUAAGUUCAGUAUCUGUGGAUCUGAUUGCCGUGAAAAAGUUUGGAGAAAAAUUAACGCGGAAUUGGAUCCAAACAAUAUGACCGGCACUGGGGUUGAAAACUUGGUCUUUAUCGAAAAUAUGGACCGAUAUGGUUACUUAAAUAUUUUGAAAAAUAUUUUAAAAGAAAGCGCUAUGAAAUUGGGCCUUGGAGCAACGUUUAUCUUCCAGCAGGAUAAUCACCCCAAGCACACAUCCAACAUUGUACGAGAGUGGCUGUUAUACAAUGUGCGAAAACAGCUGUAAACACCGCCACAGUCCCCGGAUACCAACCCAAUCGAACAUUUAUGGGAACAUUUAAAGCGGCAAAUACGUAAACACGACAGUCGGUUCUACGUUACCGAAACGACCCGGAUUUAUAUCCGGCCAAGGACUGUCACUCCAGCAGCAUUCACCGUAUGUAAGUAUGGGAAAUGUUUAUGCUGCUACUACAACAACAACAACAUAAACAUCCGAUUAGAAAUAUGUAAUAACUGAAAAACGUCUUUCAAGAGGAAUGGAAUAAAAUACUACCAGCUGUAACUGAAAACUUGGUGAAAUCAAUGCCAUCACGACUUAAAGCGAUUGUAAAGUCUAAUGGUUAUCCUACCAAAUACUAGGAUUAGAUUUUAAUUAUGUUUUUGAUUUCACAAAUUAAUAAUAUGAUGAACUGUAUACUUACU
This is a long non-coding RNA of Anastrepha ludens (Mexican fruit fly), 2006 nucleotides long. RefSeq lists it as uncharacterized. The record is from RefSeq and is a predicted model, not a curated record. The transcript has 3 exons. Lineage: Eukaryota; Metazoa; Arthropoda; Insecta; Diptera; Tephritidae.